UCGAGAAUUUUUCUCAAUGGGCGAAAGCCUGAAGGAGCGACGCCGCGUGGGGGAUGAAUGGCUUCGGCCCGUAAACCCCUGUCAUUUGCGAACAAAUUGACUCACUUAACACGUGUGUCAUUGAUUGUAGCGGAAGAGGAAGGGACGGCUAACUCUGUGCCAGCAGCCGCGGUAAUACAGAGGUCCCAAGCGUUGUUCGGAUUUACUGGGCGUAAAGGGUGCGUAGGCGGUUGUUUAAGUCUGACGUGAAAUCUCCGGGCCUAACCCGGAAACUGCGUUGGAUACUAUUCAACUAGAGGAAUGGAGGGGAGACUGGAAUACUUGGUGUAGCAGUGAAAUGCGUAGAUAUCAAGUGGAACAUCAGUGGCGAAGGCGAGUCUCUGGACAUUUCCUGACGCUGAGGCACGAAAGCCAGGGGAGCAAACGG
RNAcentral lists this ribosomal RNA (427 nucleotides) under uncultured bacterium. RNAcentral's name for it is "bacterial SSU rRNA". It matches the Rfam family "Bacterial small subunit ribosomal RNA", at positions 355 to 775 of the family's 1533-position model. The record is from RNAcentral.